This 497-nucleotide ribosomal RNA is filed under the name uncultured bacterium. RNAcentral describes it as "partial 16S ribosomal RNA". It matches the Rfam family "Bacterial small subunit ribosomal RNA", at positions 28 to 507 of the family's 1533-position model. The record is from RNAcentral.
GAUGAACGCUGGCGGCGUGCCUAAUACAUGCAAGUCGAGCGAACAGACGAGGAGCUUGCUCCUCUGAUGUUAGCGGCGGACGGGUGAGUAACACGUGGAUAACCUACCUAUAAGACUGGGAUAACUUCGGGAAACCGGAGCUAAUACCGGAUAACAUGUUGAACCGCAUGGUUCAACAGUGAAAGACGGUCUUGCUGUCACUUAUAGAUGGAUCCGCGCCGCAUUAGCUAGUUGGUAAGGUAACGGCUUACCAAGGCAACGAUGCGUAGCCGACCUGAGAGGGUGAUCGGCCACACUGGAACUGAGACACGGUCCAGACUCCUACGGGAGGCAGCAGUAGGGAAUCUUCCGCAAUGGGCGAAAGCCUGACGGAGCAACGCCGCGUGAGUGAAGAAGGUCUUCGGAUCGUAAAACUCUGUUAUUAGGGAAGAACAAAUGUGUAAGUAACUAUGCACGUCUUGACGGCACCUAAUCAGAAAGCCACGGCUAACUACGUG